RNAcentral lists this ribosomal RNA (465 nucleotides) under uncultured bacterium. Its description in RNAcentral is "partial 16S ribosomal RNA". It matches the Rfam family "Bacterial small subunit ribosomal RNA", at positions 339 to 795 of the family's 1533-position model. The record is from RNAcentral.
CUACGGGCGGCAGCAGUGAGGAAUAUUGCGCAAUGGGGGAAAAACUGAGGCAGCGACGCCGCGUGGAUGAUGAAGGCCUUCUUUUCGUAAAAUCCGGGCGGGGGGGAAGAAGUGGAUAUAGAUUAAUACUCUAUUUCUUUGACGGUACCACCAAAGGAAGCACCGGCUAACUCCGUGCCAGCAGCCGCGGUAAUACGGAGGGUGCAAACGUUGUUCGGAAUUACUGGGCGUAAAGCGCGCGUAGGCGGUUUGUUAAGUCAGAUGUGAAAGUCCAUGGCUCAACUAUGGAAGUGCAUUUGAAACUGGCAGACUUGAGUACUGGAGGGGGUGAUGGAAUUCCCGGUGUAGAGGUGAAAUUCGUAGAUAUCGGGAGGAAUACCGGUGGCGAAGGCGAUCACCUGGCCAGAUACUGACGCUGAGGUGCGAAAGCGUGGGGCGCCAACAGGAUUAGAUACCCCAGUAGUC